AUGUAAAAACUAUUUAGCAUUGCUAAUUUUUUCAGAUUUGUUUUCCUUUUGUCGACAGUUACGUUUGCAUAUUUAUGUACGAUCUUGAUGAAAGUGAAAGUAGAAAUCUUGCAUUGCAGUUUGUGUGUAGCCUAUGUUAGAUGGUUAUCCACUCGGCUCUUUUAUCAAAUUUUUAAUGGAAAAUGUUUGUUUUUAUUAUGUAUUAAGCAACUGGAGUUCAGUGUCUGAGUGCCGUUUUUAUUGAAAGAACCCCAAGCUGUUAAGACUGACGAUUCAACCCAAAGCUGAUUUGACUGAAGAUUGCACGAUCACAAUACAGGUUCAAUAUACAGUCUGUCUGCUAUGAAUAACAUGGAAGAACACCAUGACCCUAGGCUUGCUUCAGAAUAGAAAACCUGUAUUAAUCAACAGAACCUUAAAAUUGGAGACUCCACUGAAGUGCCACCCAGUACCUUAACAUGUGACAAUUUCAAAUCCUAUGAUGAGGUUCCAAGGGGUUAUAAAAUGAAAGAAAAACAAAGAACAGGCCAAGAGAAAAUUUAAGCAAUGCAGUCACUGUCAGGGAAAUAAAGCCAAAAUUAUGUAAAAAUUUGAAAAAAUAAACUCAAG
This is a long non-coding RNA of Saccostrea echinata, 609 nucleotides long. RefSeq lists it as uncharacterized. The record is from RefSeq and is a predicted model, not a curated record. The transcript is spliced from 4 exons. Lineage: Eukaryota; Metazoa; Mollusca; Bivalvia; Ostreida; Ostreidae.